AUUGAACGCUGGCGGCAGGCUUAACACAUGCAAGUCGAGCGGUAACAGAGAGAAGCUUGCUUCUCUGCUGACGAGCGGCGGACGGGUGAGUAAUGCCUAAGAAUCUGCCUAGUAGUGGGGGAUAACUUGCCGAAAGGUAAGCUAAUACCGCAUACGUCCUACGGGAGAAAGGAGGGGACCUUCGGGCCUUUCGCUAUUAGAUGAGCCUAGGUCGGAUUAGUUAGUUGGUGAGGUAAUGGCUCACCAAGACCGCGAUCCGUAACUGGUCUGAGAGGAUGAUCAGUCACACUGGAACUGAGACACGGUCCAGACUCCUACGGGAGGCAGCAGUGGGGAAUAUUGGACAAUGGGGGGAACCCUGAUCCAGCCAUGCCGCGUGCGUGAAGAAGGUCUUAGGAUUGUAAAGCACUUUAAGUUGGGAGGAAGAGCAGUUAACUAAUAUUUGACUGUUUUGACGUUACCGACAGAAUAAGCACCGGCUAACUUCGUG
This 490-nucleotide ribosomal RNA is filed under the name uncultured bacterium. Its description in RNAcentral is "partial 16S ribosomal RNA". It matches the Rfam family "Bacterial small subunit ribosomal RNA", at positions 30 to 507 of the family's 1533-position model. The record is from RNAcentral.